UAAAGUCCAAGGCCGUCAACAUAGACAUGCACUGCAUCCCUAAACUGCAUCUUCCAAGGCAGUAUCAGCAACUCUACCGUUGGAAGGAUAAACCAACUUUCAGCAUUUACAUAACAUUUGAAGCCAAUGCUGGCAUAAACCGAGCCAGUGAACAAUGAAGAAAACCUGUUAGGAAAGAAAAUGAUGAAGAAACGCCUUUGGGAAUUUUGGAUUCUUUUCCUACCAAACCCAUUUGAUAUGGACAUGGCCAAGCUUAAAGAUGGACUUGAUGGAGAGGAUAACAAGAAAACCAAAGAUAAAGCUAAGGAUCCAUUGAGCAUACUACAAGGUCCAAUUACAAGGUCCAAGAAGCUAUAAGAAGCCUUAAUUGGCUAUAUGCAAGAUUGGGCUAGUCAAGGAAGCUCAAUUGGUCAUGCUAGGAUAGGCCCAAGUAAAGACACAAUUGAAUGGGCUUUAUUUAAUAUUUUGCAAGUCCAAGUACAUGAAGACUAAUGUGGGCUAAUAUUUGGGCUGAAAUCUCUUAUUUAAGUUCAGAACAAUGUUAUUUCCUAUUUUUCUUAUGUGGCGGCUAGGUUUAAUAGUUUUACUAGAGUUUCUUAUGUUAGGUGGCUAUAAAAAUGCCCCUUAAGGUGUGUUUUAGGGAUUCGAAUUUUGAUUAAAUUAUAGUAGUUGUUUCCUUUGCAUAUUUGCUUGAAUUCUUAUUGAAUACAUAAACCACUUAUCAAUGAAUUGAUCUAUCCUUGUGGCGUGUUAAGGUUUAAAGAACUUAGUUUUCUUUAGGUUCUGAUCUUGAUCAACUAUACCUUGCAAUCUGAUUUAAGCGGUUCUUGGGUUUUGAAACUCAAUUUGUUCUUGGGUUUCUAAGAUAGUAAUUCACGGGUUCAUAAUCAUUAGGGUUCGUGGUUCUAAUCCUUUGAGGUUCUUAACAUUUGGUAUCAGAGCUUUGGCUCUUAAAUCAGGUUAUUUAUCCAUUUUCUUUAAGUUAUUGUUUGUUCUCCUUGAGUUCUUGAUAUUGUUCUUGAAGUAUUCUUGGUAUUCUUGAAAUCUAUAUUGUUUAGUUCUUGAUUCUUGUAGUUUUGAUUCUGAUUCAAAAAAAAAAAAAAUAGGUCUCAUUGGUUUGAUUGUCUUCGUUAGUGGAAAAACGUGUUUGGUGUUGAAAUCAUUGUUCUUGGUGUGUUUAUAUAGAUAUUAGGAUUGUUAAAAGGUUCAUAUUACAGCUGGUCUUAAAAGUUUCCUAAAAUUAAGAGGAAAUUAGGGAGAUUUUCACAAUCCUACACAAAUAAGGAUUAGGUGGCUGUUUGGGAAGAUUCAAAAGAACAUUAAAUUCCAAUGACCUGAGCCCUAUACAUACCAUCUUAUUUGAAUUAAUUCAGCUCUAAAUUCGUUUUUGUCCUUCAUUUAUUCUUUUCUUUAUGUGUCUUUUGGGCAGAUUUGACACAUUUAAAGCAUAAAGAGGUAACCUUCUUUCUUGAUCAACCUUCCUUGUGAUUUUUGCUUCCUAAAUCUGUUCCUUACAUGUCUUAUACAUCAAAUUGAAGUUUUAAUUCGUUCUUGAGCUUUAAAAUCUUGUUUCCAAUGCUGUUUGGUUAGAAAUUUCCAUUCGAGUUGAAACUUGGUUCUUGAACUUAAUUUCUUGUUUUUUUCACCUUAUUUUCGUUCCUUUUACAUGCCCAUUGCUUCUUUUUGAGUUUUUGAUUGUUCUUGAUUCAUUAAACACUUGUUUUUGUUACUGUUCCUUCUUUUCCUAUUUCAAGCUGAACUGCAUCUUUCUUGUUUCUUACAUCUAGAUUGUUUCUUUAUAUGUCAUUUGCAUCCGUUUGAAAUUUUCGCUUGUUUGUAGUCCUAAUUUUAUUGAAAGCGUGACUAUUUGUUUAAUUUUCUUGACUUUUGCGUUUUGCCUCAACUAAGCUUUUUAGAUCAUAAUUCUUGGUGCAUUGCAAGCAUAGUGAAAUAACUUGAUGUGUGGUUAUUGAUUCACAUAAGAAUCCUUGAAAACAAGCUGAGUGGUGUGAGUUCUCAGCCUUGUGUGAUCAUUCUUGAUUGUGCGAAACACGAGUGACCAUCCCCAUUAAUUGAGAGUAAACACGUGAGAGAGUGUUGGUGAGGUCCUUAAUUUCCUUCGAUUUUCUUUUAUUGCAUACUAACUCUUAUUGCAGCAUGUCAAGUGGUUCUAGUGGAGGUAAUAAUGUGUCAACUACCGGCAUACCCGCGGCACAAAUGCAUGAAAAUGAGAGGGUGCAACGAAGCAUAAGAAAUAUGAAUGAGCAAAUGGAGAGGUUUCAACUUGACAUAGCAGCCCAACGAAGGGAAAUGGCAACCAAUCAACAAGCCAUUAUGGACCAAAUUAAUGCAUUUGCCCGAGGUCUAGGAAAUAGGCUUAAUGAAGGGGGGAAUGUGCAAAGUAAUCAUGGGCAGCCAAUUGGGGUGAAUGAGGAUGACUUUGAUGAGGGUUUUGAGGAAUAUGAUAAUGCAGCCUAUGGUGGGGUUGGUAGAGGCAUGGGUAGAGGAGCUAGGAGAUACCAAAAUCUUGGUAGAGGUAGAUGACACUUUGGUGGUUAUGGGAACUAUAAUAAUGUUGAUAGGAACUUGGGUAGUAUCAAACUUAGGAUUCCUACCUUCUUGGGGAAAACUGAUCCGGAGGCAUAUUUGGAGUGGAAAAAGCGAGUUGACCUUAUCUUUGAUUGCCAUAACUUUUCAGAGGAGAAAAAGGUGAAAUUAGUGGUUACCCAAUUUAGUGACUAUACUAUAGUUUGGUGGGAUCAGUUGGUGGUUAGUAGGAGGAGGAACAUGGAAGAGCCUAUUAGUAGUUGGAUCGCACUCAAAACUAUCAUGAGAAUGCUUUUUGUACCUAGACAUUACCAUAGGGAGUUACAUUAAAGACUCUAAUCUUUGAGGCAAGGUACAAAGAGUGUUGAUGAUUAUUAUAAGGAGAUGGAAAUGCUCAUGACUAGGGCUGAUUUGGAUGAGGAUAGAAAAGCUACCAUGGCACGAUUCAUUAGUGGGCUUAAUAAGGAGAUUGCUGAUAGGGUAGAGUUGCAACAUUAUGUGGAGCUUGAGGAGUUAGUUCACCUUGCAAUUAAGGUGGAAAAGCAACUAAAACCUAGAGGGACAUCAAGGUUUGAAUAUAAGGGCACUUCGAGUGGGAGGCCACAUUGGUCUAAUUCUUGGAAAGGAGGUAAGAAAGGUGAUGAUAAGGUUAAUCCCAAUUACAACAAAGGGAAAAGCAUUUCAGGCAACAAAGACACAUCUAAACCUGAAAUUAACAAAGAAAAGAAUAGAGANNNUCAUGGGUAGCUUUCCUCUAUCCUCAUCCAAAUCAGCCCUAGUCAUGAGCAUUUCCAUCUCCUUAUAAUAAUCAUCAACACUCUUUGUACCUUGCCUCAAAGAUUAGAGUCUUUAAUGUAACUCCCUAUGGUAAUGUCUAGGUACAAAACGCAUUCUCAUGAUAGUUUUGAGUGCAAUCCAACUACUAAUAGGCUCUUCCAUAUUCCUCCUCCUAUUAACCACCAACUGAUCCCACCAAACUAUAGCAUAGUUACUAAAUUGGGUAACCACCAAUUUCACCUUUUUCUCCUCUGAAAAGUUAUGGCAAUCAAAGAUAAGGUCAACCCGCUUUUCCUACUCCAAAUAUGCCUCCGGAUCAGUUUUCCCCAAGAAGGUAGGAAUCCUAAGUUUGAUACUACCCAAGUUCCUAUCAACAUCAUUAUAGUUCCCAUAACCACCAAAGUGUCCUCUACCUCUACCAAGAUUUUGGUAUCUCCUAGCUCCUCUACCCAUGCCUCUACCAACCCCACCAUAGGUUGCAUUAUCAUAUUCCUCAAAACCCUCAUCAAAGUCAUCCUCAUUCGCCCCAAUUGGCUGCCCAUGAUUACCUUUGCACAUUCCCCCCUUCAUUAAGCCUAUUUCCCAGACUUCGGGCAAAUGCAUUAAUUUGGUCCAUAAUGGCUUGUUGAUUGGUUGUCAUUUCCCUUCGUUGGGCUGCCAUGUCAAGUUGAAACCUCUCCAUUUGCUCAUUCAUAUUUCUUAUGCUUUGUUACACCCUCUCAUUUUUAUGCAUUUGUGUUGCGGGUAAUGCCGGUAGUUGGCACAUUAUUACCUCCACUAGAACUACUUGACAUGCUGCAAUAAGAGUUAGUAUGCAAUAAAAAAAAUCGAAGGAAAUUAAGGACCUCACCAACACUCUCUCACGUGUUUACUCUCAAUUAAUGGGGAUGGUCACUCGUGUUUCGCACAAUCAAGAAUGAUCACACAAAGUUAAAAACUCACACCACUCAGCUUGUUUUCAAUGAUUCUUAUGUGAAUCAAUAACCACACAUCAAGUUAUUUCACUAUGCUUGCAAUGCACCAAGAAUUAUGAUCUAAAAAGCUUAGUUGAGGCAAAACGCAAAAGUCAAGAAAAUUAAACAAAUAGUCACGCUUUCAAUAAAAUUAGGACUACAAACAAGCGAAAACUUCAAACGGAUGCAAAUGACAUAUAAAAAAACAAUCUAGAUGUAAGAAACAAGAAAGAUGCAGUUCAGCUUGAAAUAGGAAAAGAAGGAACAGUAACAAAAACAAGUGUCUAAUGAAUCAAGAACAAUCAAAAACUCAAAAAGAAGCAAUGGGCAUGUAAAAGGAACGAAAAUAAGGUGAAAAAAAACAAGAAAUUAAGUUCAAGAACCAAGCAAUCAAGUUUCAACCCGAAUGGAAAUUUCUAACCAAACAGCAUUGGAAACAAGAUUUUAAAGCUCAAGAACGAAUUAAAACUUCAAUUUGAUGUAUAAGACAUGUAAGGAACAGAUUUAGGAAGCAAAAAUCACAAGGAAGGUUGAUCAAGAAAGAAGGUUACCUCUUUAUGCUUUAAAUGUGUCAAAUCUGCCCAAAAGACACACAAAGAAAAGAAUAAAUGAAGGAUAAAAACGAAUUUAGAGCUGAAUUAAUUCAAAUAAGAUGGUAUGUAUAGGGCUCAGGUCAUUGGAAUUUAAUGUCGCUUUGAAUCUUCCCAAACAGCCACCUAAUCCUUAUUUGUGUAGGAUUGUGAAAAUCUCCCUAAUUUCCUCUUAAUUUUAGGAAAUUUUUAAGACCACCUGUAAUAGAAACCUUUUAACAACCCUAAUAUCUAUAUAAACACAUCAAGAACAAUGAUUUCAACACCAAACACGUUUUUCCACUAACGAAGACAAUGACUUCAACAUUUACAUAACAUAUGAAGCCAAUGCUGGCAUAAACCGAGCCAGUGAACAAUGAAGAAAACCUGUUAGGAAAGAAAAUGAUGAAGAAACGCCUUUAGGAAUUUUGGAUUCUUUUCCUACCAAACCCAUUUGCAUACAGACACCUAUAUACAAGAAUACAAGUGAGCUCCACUUCAACACAGCCAGACGAUCCUAUGUUUUAAUUCAAAAUUAUAAGACUGCAAUUCUAUUUGUUGUUNNNN
This 5413-nucleotide long non-coding RNA is filed under the name Ricinus communis (castor bean). RNAcentral describes it as "long non-coding RNA (RCOM_LNC002377)". The record is from RNAcentral. Lineage: Eukaryota; Viridiplantae; Streptophyta; Magnoliopsida; Malpighiales; Euphorbiaceae.